CUGAUCCAGCCAUGCCGCGUGUGUGAAGAAGGCCCUCGGGUUGUAAAGCACUUUCAGCGAGGAAGAACGCCUAGUGGUUAAUACCCAUUAGGAAAGACAUCACUCGCAGAAGAAGCACCGGCUAACUCCGUGCCAGCAGCCGCGGUAAUACGGAGGGUGCAAGCGUUAAUCGGAAUUACUGGGCGUAAAGCGCGCGUAGGUGGCUUGAUAAGCCGGUUGUGAAAGCCCCGGGCUCAACCUGGGAACGGCAUCCGGAACUGUCAAGCUAGAGUGCAGGAGAGGAAGGUAGAAUUCCCGGUGUAGCGGUGAAAUGCGUAGAGAUCGGGAGGAAUACCAGUGGCGAAGGCGGCCUUCUGGACUGACACUGACACUGAGGUGCGAAAGCGUGGGUAGCAAACAGGAUUAGAUACCCUGGUAGUCCACGCCGUAAACGAUGUCGACCAGCCGUUGGGUGCCUAGCGCACUUUGUGGCGAAGUUAACGCGAUAAGUCGACCGCCUGGGGAGUACGGCCGCAAGGUUAAAACUCAAAUGAAUUGACGGGGGCCCGCACAAGCGGUGGAGCAUGUGGUUUAAUUCGAUGCAACGCGAAGAACCUUACCUACUCUUGACAUCCUGCGAACUUGUGAGAGAUCACUUGGUGCCUUCGGGAACGCAGAGACAGGUGCUGCAUGGCUGUCGUCAGCUCGUGUUGUGAAAUGUUGGGUUAAGUCCCGUAACGAGCGCAACCC
This 729-nucleotide ribosomal RNA is filed under the name Halomonas sp. NY141B. RNAcentral's name for it is "bacterial SSU rRNA". It matches the Rfam family "Bacterial small subunit ribosomal RNA", at positions 383 to 1104 of the family's 1533-position model. Lineage: Bacteria; Pseudomonadati; Pseudomonadota; Gammaproteobacteria; Oceanospirillales; Halomonadaceae. The record is from RNAcentral.